CAGCCGCCGCGGUAAUACGGAGGAUCCAAGCGUUAUCCGGAAUCAUUGGGUUUAAAGGGUCCGUAGGCGGCCUUAUAAGUCAGUGGUGAAAUCUCCCGGCUCAACCGGGAAAUGGCCAUUGAUACUGUAGGGCUUGAAUUAUUAGGAAGUAACUAGAAUAUGUAGUGUAGCGGUGAAAUGCUUAGAGAUUACAUGGAAUACCAAUUGCGAAGCCAGGUUACUACUAAUGGAUUGACGCUGAUGGACGAAAGCGUGGGUAGCGAACAGGAUUAGAUACCCUGGUAGUCCACGCCGUAAACGAUGGAUACUAGCUGUUGGGCGCCAGUUCAGUGGCUAAGCGAAAGUGAUACGUAUCCCACCUGGAGAGUACGUUCGCAAGAAUGAAACUCAAAGGAAUUGACGGGGGCCCGC
This 411-nucleotide ribosomal RNA is filed under the name Bacteroidetes bacterium enrichment culture clone LiUU-17-320. RNAcentral describes it as "bacterial SSU rRNA". It matches the Rfam family "Bacterial small subunit ribosomal RNA", at positions 509 to 924 of the family's 1533-position model. The record is from RNAcentral. Lineage: Bacteria; Pseudomonadati; Bacteroidota.